GAUGAAGAACGUAGUGAAAUGCGAUACGUAAUGUGAAUUGCAGAAUUCAGUGAAUCAUCGAGUCUUUGAACGCACAUUGCGCCCCCUGGUAUUCCGGGGGGCAUGCCUGUCCGAGCGUCAUUGCUGCCCAUCAAGCACGGCUUGUGUGUUGGGUCCUCGUCCCCCCCGGGGGACGUGCCCGAAAGGCAGCGGCGGCACCGCGUCCGGUCCUCGAGCGUAUGGGGCUUUGUCACCCGCUCUGCAGGCCCGGCCGGCGCUGGCCGACGCGAAAGCAACCAUUUUUUCUCCAGGUUGACCUCGGAUCAGGUAGGGAUACCCGCUGAACUUAAGCAUAUCAAUAAGCGGAGGA
RNAcentral lists this unclassified non-coding RNA (349 nucleotides) under soil metagenome. RNAcentral's name for it is "partial contains 5.8S ribosomal RNA, internal transcribed spacer 2, and large subunit ribosomal RNA". The stretch from base 1 to 120 matches the Rfam family "5.8S ribosomal RNA", at positions 35 to 154 of the family's 154-position model. The record is from RNAcentral.